Molecule: long non-coding RNA, 485 nt
Organism: Arabidopsis lyrata subsp. lyrata
Lineage: Eukaryota; Viridiplantae; Streptophyta; Magnoliopsida; Brassicales; Brassicaceae
Exons: 3
Source: RefSeq, a predicted model, not a curated record
CAGGUAUCUCCGAAGAAACCGAUCAAUCUUGGGGCUCGAUCCGAUUGACCGUAACUUGUCCAGUUGUAUCUAGAUUCCAAGAGACCGAUUCGAAGGAAUAUCCGACUAAUCUAGGGGCCAUGUUAAAUUCCUGGUGGCCAACGCAACCCGAGUGGCGGAAUGCUACUAACACUUCCUUUAUCACUGGGCCAACAAUGCGUUGGUUGAAAGGAAAGGUUGUCGUCCGAUUUCGGUACUCCCGCCAAGCCUCAUUUGCCAUCAAGACUCAGCAUCGCUAAGCAGCUCCGAUCAAGUUCAAAGAUGCGAUUCCUCCACAAGAAGAAGAAGAACUAAGUGUGCAAUGAUCUAGCGCAAAGCCCCCUAAGUGAUCCGCGCUCUCUUUUCUUUCACUUUUAUCUUAUAUCCUCUGUUUUUGUAACUUAAACUUGCGAUGCUUUAUCGUGACUUAUUUUAACAUAUUAUGGCAUAUUUUUGAUUUUUAUAAA